This 510-nucleotide ribosomal RNA is filed under the name uncultured bacterium. Its description in RNAcentral is "bacterial SSU rRNA". It matches the Rfam family "Bacterial small subunit ribosomal RNA", at positions 36 to 507 of the family's 1533-position model. The record is from RNAcentral.
CUGGCGGCGUGCCUAAUACAUGCAAGUCGAACGCACUCUCGUUUAGAUUGAAGGAGCUUGCUCCUGAUUGAUAAACAUUUGAGUGAGUGGCGGACGGGAGAGUAACACGUGGGUAACCUGCCCUAAAGUGGGGAUAACAUUUGGAAACAGAUGCUAAUACCGCAUAAAACCUAACACCGCAUGGUGUAGGGUUGAAAGAUGGUUUCGGCUAUCACUUUAGGAUGGACCCGCGGUGCAUUAGUUAGUUGGUGAGGUAAAGGCUCACCAAGACCGUGAUGCAUAGCCGACCUGAGAGGGUAAUCGGCCACACUGGGACUGAGACACGGCCCAGACUCCUACGGGAGGCAGCAGUAGGGAAUCUUCCACAAUGGACGAAAGUCUGAUGGAGCAACGCCGCGUGAGUGAAGAAGGUUUCGGAUCGUAAAACUCUGUUGUUGGAGAAGAAUGUAUCUGAUAGUAACUGAUCAGGUAGUGACGGUAUCCAACCAGAAAGCCACGGCUAACUACGUG